UGCCAGACGACGUCGUUCGUACGGCAUCGUCGUCUACGCCAUCGUCUCUUACGUUUGCUUCAGCAAGUGUUUAGGCAUUGUUCCGUCGCGUCGCGUUGAAGGGACACCACUGCCGCUUUAUGGCGAAACCUGACUCGCGUCCGGAAUCGCCUCGCUGCGCCGCGCGAAGCGGCGUUUCAUUUAUUCAAAGGCGCCACGGUGAUGUUUCACAUUGACGUCCCGAGCCUCCUUGGGUUUCGUCUUCGCGCGUGAAUCUUCAUCGUCAGAAAACUUGAGCCGCUGCAUCUUGUGCCUAACGCGAUCUUCUGUUGGUGAAAAUCGACAUGUUAUUCGGAUGGUAUCCAUUACAACGCGAC
Long non-coding RNA from Acromyrmex echinatior (Panamanian leafcutter ant), 356 nucleotides. RefSeq lists it as uncharacterized. Lineage: Eukaryota; Metazoa; Arthropoda; Insecta; Hymenoptera; Formicidae. The record is from RefSeq and is a predicted model, not a curated record.